AGGUGACCUGCGGAAGGAUCAUUGUCGAAGCCUGCCCAGCAGAACGACCCGCGAACGUGUUAUCGAAAAACAACGGGACGGUGGGGCGGAAUCCCGCCCCUCGUCCCGCCUCGCCUCGGUGCCCUUCGCCGCCGCCUCCCCCGCGCCGCACGGUGUCGCGGGAUGCACGGCCCCGGGCCUCCGUGGCGAAACGAACAACCCCCGGCGUGAAUCGCGCCAAGGAAUCUGAAUAGAAAGAAGCACGUCCCCCGUCGCCGCCCCGUCCGCGGUGCGCGUGCUGCGGGGACGCUGCGACUUCGUCGUGAAUACACAAAACGACUCUCGGCAACGGAUAUCUCGGCUCUCGCAUCGAUGAAGAACGUAGCGAAAUGCGAUACUUGGUGUGAAUUGCAGAAUCCCGUGAACCAUCGAGUCUUUGAACGCAAGUUGCGCCCCAAGCCGUCAGGCCGAGGGCACGUCUGCCUGGGUGUCACGCAUCGUCGCUCCCAUCCGACCCUUCCCCGAACGGAACGGGUUGCGUUGUGGGCGGACAAUGGCCUCCCGUUCGCGCAUCGCUCGCGGUUGGCCCAAAAUCGAGUCAUCGGCGACCACGGUGCCGCGACGAUCGGUGGUAACGCUUCGAGCUGCCUCUUUCGUAGUCGCGUGCCGCCGUCGACCCCGGCUCUCCGACCCUUUCGGCACCCCAAAACACGGUGCUCGCGUCGCGACCCCAGGUCAGGCGGGAUUACCCGCUGAGU
Molecule: ribosomal RNA, 737 nt
Filed under: Abelmoschus moschatus (musk mallow)
Lineage: Eukaryota; Viridiplantae; Streptophyta; Magnoliopsida; Malvales; Malvaceae
Description: eukaryotic LSU rRNA
Rfam family: 5.8S ribosomal RNA (bases 317-472)
Source: RNAcentral